Molecule: long non-coding RNA, 924 nt
Organism: Oncorhynchus keta (chum salmon)
Lineage: Eukaryota; Metazoa; Chordata; Actinopteri; Salmoniformes; Salmonidae
Exons: 4
Source: RefSeq, a predicted model, not a curated record
CCACCCUACUAACCUGUCACACACUGGAGGCCUAUAGGUUCACCACCCUACUAACCUGUCACACACGGAGGACCUAUAGGUUCACCACUGUACUAACCUGUCACACACUGGAGGCCUAUAGGUUCACCACUGUACUAACCUGUCACACACGGAGGACCUAUAGGUUCACCACCACUAACCUGUCACACACUGGAGGCCUAUAGGUUCACCACCCUACUAACCUGUCACACACUGGAGGCCUAUAGGUUCACCACCCUACUAACCUGUCACACACUGGAGGCCUAUAGGUUCACCACCCUACUAACCUGUCACACACUGGAGGCCUAUAGGUUCACCACCCUACUAACCUGUCACACACUGGAGGCCUAUAGGUUCACCACCCUACUAACCUGUCACACACUGGAGGCCUAUAGGUUCACCACCCUACUAACCUGUCACACACUGGAGGCCUAUAGGUACACCACCCUACUAAUCUGUCACACACUGGAGGCCUAUAGGUUCACCACCCUACUAACCUGUCACACACUGGAGGCCUAUAGGUUCACCACCCUACUAACCUGUCACACACUGGAGGCCUAUAGGUACACCACCCUACUAACCUGUCACACACUGGAGGCCUAUAGGUUCACCACCCUACUAACCUGUCACACACGGAGGACCUAUAGGUUCACCACCCUACUAACCUGUCACACACGGAGGACCUAUAGGUACACCACCCUACUAACCUGUCACACACGGAGGACCUAUAGGUUCACCACCCUACUAACCUGUCACACACUGGAGGCCUAUAGGUACACCACCACUAACCUGUCACACACGGAGGACCUAUAGGUUCACCACUGUACUAACCUGUCACACACGGAGGACCUAUAGGUUCACCACUGUACUAACCUGUCACACACUGGAGGCCUAUAGGUACACCAC